ACAACGUUUUACUGAUGUAAAACUGGUUCCCGUUAAAAAAAAUAGGAUAUAUCGCCUGUAUAUCUAGGUCACGGUAACAGUUCCGAUGUCGUCUGUUGACAACGUGUGUAAACAACUUCUAAGUUACAGCUCAUCGCUCAGAAGAAAGGAAGGUUUAUCAUAAAGGAUAAAUACAUGCGUUCUUUUAAAAUAAAGAAUAUGAAUAGCUUCAGCCUGAAAGUUCACACAGUAUUGAAUGAUUCUCAACUUAUCCAAUGUUAUCAGGUCAUAUGAUAUAAGUUUUCGGAACUGGAAGUUGGAGAAAUUCGGCAUCCGAUCACAGUGAUCUUUCGUAUGACGAAACCUGGAAAGAAGGUCGACGGCUAGCUCUGGCUGAUCACCUACCACAGAAUAUGUUCGUUAAGAGUAAAUCCCCUGCGGAUACUGUCUGUGAACGGAAAUACGAACUUCAAAGCUUGAACCAGGAGGGCAUUUUGUCCAUAUUCAUACCAUAUCGUUGUAGCUGCAGUGCAUGUAACCUGCAUAUCAUACACGUUUAACAGUGUAGACACGAGGGAAAACAUGGGACUGGUGAAUUUGUUAUCAAUUCAAAAGCUGUAUAUGGAAUGAUACAUGCAGGAAUUUGUGCCACACAUUUCAACAAUUUCCUUAAUGGAUUGAAUGUACUUUUUGUGAAUUCAUCAGACAUACUUAAAGAAAAAGGAGAAUGAAACUUGAAAGAAAAUAUUUGCAGUUGCAAAAGAAUCCUGUAAAUAAAUUCAAAACUCAGCAAAAGAAGAAACAGUUUUAAACAUGGUUAAUUUAAUGAAUAAUUGGAAGGUCUCAUUGUCAUCAUUUAACAGCAGGUUAUUAGCAGCAGUUUUUCAGAAAAAUGAAGGAUAGCUGUCAAUGGUAAAUGCAGCAUCAGAAUAUUCCCCAGGAAAGUUUACUCAGAGAGUUUGGGAAAGUAUGAAUAAGAAAUUAGAGAGGGAAACAGAUAACCAGAAAACAAAGAUUUUAAAAGAAAAGAAUUGCCACUAUUAGUAAUAUGAUAUAUCUGACUGGGAGCAACAUGUACUAUUCAAUAUGGAAGGAUUAACAAUUUUGACUGAGAACAAAGUGAACUCUAAUAAUGCUAUGACUAUCAAUCAAUACUUGACUGAAUCAGAGGAGUAAACUAUUUACAUAUUUGUAAAUAUAACAGUUAUAUGUUUGCUUGAUUAUUGAGGCAUUCAAAAUAAAGAAAGUUGAAAAACCUUUGAAAAAGUUAUAAUUUCAUAAUUUUUUGGUUAUGUUACUAUGACAACUGAAAUAUAUAAUGUAUUAUCAUUAUGCUUCAUCAACUUAAAUCAUUUAUUGAGGAAAAGGUGACAAAGUCUUUUUAUCCAUUUACUUGCACGACUGUUAUCUAUGAAUCGAUAUUUAAAAAAAAAAAAUAUUUGGUGAUUUUUGCUAACUUCUGACUAAUUUAUUUUGCUCAUUUAAUACCACAGUAAUGC
Long non-coding RNA from Mytilus trossulus (common blue mussel), 1478 nucleotides. RefSeq lists it as uncharacterized. The transcript has 4 exons. NCBI's taxonomy places the organism in Eukaryota, Metazoa, Mollusca, Bivalvia, Mytilida, Mytilidae. The record is from RefSeq and is a predicted model, not a curated record.